RNAcentral lists this ribosomal RNA (225 nucleotides) under uncultured bacterium. RNAcentral's name for it is "partial 16S ribosomal RNA". It matches the Rfam family "Bacterial small subunit ribosomal RNA", at positions 552 to 776 of the family's 1533-position model. The record is from RNAcentral.
UAUUGGGUUUAAAGGGAGCGUAGGUGGACAGUUAAGUCAGUUGUUAAAGUUUGCGGCUCAACCGUAAAAUUGCAGUUGAUACUGGCUGUCUUGAGUACAGUAGAGGUGGGCGGAAUUCGUCGUGUAGCGGUGAAAUGCUUAGAUAUCACGAAGAACUCCGAUUGCGAAGGCAGCCUGCUGGACUGUAACUGACGCUGAUGCUCGAAAGUGUGGGUAUCAAACAGG